RNAcentral lists this ribosomal RNA (468 nucleotides) under uncultured bacterium. Its description in RNAcentral is "partial 16S ribosomal RNA". It matches the Rfam family "Bacterial small subunit ribosomal RNA", at positions 28 to 507 of the family's 1533-position model. The record is from RNAcentral.
GACGAACGCUGGCGGCGUGCUUAACACAUGCAAGUCGAACGGAAAGGCCCUGCUUUUGUGGGGUGCUCGAGUGGCGAACGGGUGAGUAACACGUGAGUAACCUGCCCUUGACUCUGGGAUAACUUCAGGAAACUGGGGCUAAUACUGGAUACGAGCACCUGCUGCAUGGUCGGUGUCGGAAAGUUUCUGCGGUUGGGGAUGGACUCGCGGCUUAUCAGCUUGUUGGUGGGGUAGUGGCUUACCAAGGCUUUGACGGGUAGCCGGCCUGAGAGGGUGACCGGCCACACUGGGACUGAGAUACGGCCCAGACUCCUACGGGAGGCAGCAGUGGGGAAUAUUGCACAAUGGGCGGAAGCCUGAUGCAGCAACGCCGCGUGAGGGAUGACGGCCUUCGGGUUGUAAACCGCUUUCGCCAGGGACGAAGCGUGAGUGACGGUAACGGGUAAAGAAGCACCGGCUAACUACGUG